RNAcentral lists this ribosomal RNA (460 nucleotides) under uncultured bacterium. Its description in RNAcentral is "partial 16S ribosomal RNA". It matches the Rfam family "Bacterial small subunit ribosomal RNA", at positions 338 to 795 of the family's 1533-position model. The record is from RNAcentral.
CCUACGGGAGGCAGCAGUGAGGAAUAUUGGUCAAUGGACGAGAGUCUGAACCAGCCAAGUAGCGUGAAGGAUGACUGCCCUAUGGGUUGUAAACUUCUUUUAUAAAGGAAUAAAACGAGGCACGUGUGCCUUUUUGCAUGUACUUUAUGAAUAAGGAUCGGCUAACUCCGUGCCAGCAGCCGCGGUAAUACGGAGGAUCCGAGCGUUAUCCGGAUUUAUUGGGUUUAAAGGGAGCGUAGAUGGGUUGUUAAGUCAGUUGUGAAAGUUUGCGGCUCAACCGUGAAAUUGCAAUUGAUACUGGAAGUCUUGAGUACAGUUGAGGUAUGCGGAAUGCGAGGUGUAGCGGUGAAAUGCAUAGAGAUCAGGAGGAACACCGAUGGCGAAGGCGGCAUUCCGGCGCCCAACUGACGCUGAUGUGCGAAAGCGUGGGUAUCGAACAGGAUUAGAUACCCCAGUAGUC